Molecule: ribosomal RNA, 524 nt
Filed under: Alternaria alternata
Lineage: Eukaryota; Fungi; Ascomycota; Dothideomycetes; Pleosporales; Pleosporaceae
Description: eukaryotic LSU rRNA
Rfam family: 5.8S ribosomal RNA (bases 161-314)
Source: RNAcentral
CGAUAUGAGGCGGGCUGGACCUCUCGGGGUUACAGCCUUGCUGAAUUAUUCACCCUUGUCUUUUGCGUACUUCUUGUUUCCUUGGUGGGUUCGCCCACCACUAGGACAAACAUAAACCUUUUGUAAUUGCAAUCAGCGUCAGUAACAAAUUAAUAAUUACAACUUUCAACAACGGAUCUCUUGGUUCUGGCAUCGAUGAAGAACGCAGCGAAAUGCGAUAAGUAGUGUGAAUUGCAGAAUUCAGUGAAUCAUCGAAUCUUUGAACGCACAUUGCGCCCUUUGGUAUUCCAAAGGGCAUGCCUGUUCGAGCGUCAUUUGUACCCUCAAGCUUUGCUUGGUGUUGGGCGUCUUGUCUCUAGCUUUGCUGGAGACUCGCCUUAAAGUAAUUGGCAGCCGGCCUACUGGUUUCGGAGCGCAGCACAAGUCGCACUCUCUAUCAGCAAAGGUCUAGCAUCCAUUAAGCCUUUUUUUCAACUUUUGACCUCGGAUCAGGUAGGGAUACCCGCUGAACUUAAGCAUAUCUA